GAUGAACGCUGACAGAAUGCUUAACACAUGCAAGUCAACUUGAAUUUGGGUUUUUAACUUAGAUUUGGGUGGCGGACGGGUGAGUAACGCGUAAAGAACUUGCCUCACAGCUAGGGACAACAUUUAGAAAUGAAUGCUAAUACCUGAUAUUAUGAUUUUAAGGCAUUUUAGAAUUAUGAAAGCUAUAAGCACUGUGAGAGAGCUUUGCGUCCCAUUAGCUAGUUGGAGAGGUAACAGCUCACCAAGGCGAUGAUGGGUAGCCGGCCUGAGAGGGUGAACGGCCACAAGGGGACUGAGACACGGCCCUUACUCCUACGGGAGGCAGCAGUGGGGAAUAUUGGACAAUGGACCGAGAGUCUGAUCCAGCAAUUCUGUGUGCACGAUGAAGUUUUUCGGAAUGUAAAGUGCUUUCAGUUGGGGAGAAAGAAAUGACGGUACCAACAGAAGAAGUGACGGCUAAAUACGUGCCAGCAGCCGCGGUAAUACGCAUGUCACGAGCGUUAUCCGGAUUUAUUGGGCGUAAAGCGCGUCUAGGUGGUUAUGUAAGUCUGAUGUGAAAAUGCAGGGCUCAACUUUGUAUUGCGUUGGAAACUGUAUAACUAGAGUACUGGAGAGGUAAGCGGAACUACAAGUGUAGAGGUGAAAUUCGUAGAUAUUUGUAGGAAUGCCGAUGGGGAAGCCAGCUUACUGGACAGAUACUGACGCUAAAGCGCGAAAGCGUGGGUAGCAAACAGG
Molecule: ribosomal RNA, 735 nt
Filed under: uncultured Fusobacterium sp.
Lineage: Bacteria; Fusobacteriati; Fusobacteriota; Fusobacteriia; Fusobacteriales; Fusobacteriaceae
Description: bacterial SSU rRNA
Rfam family: Bacterial small subunit ribosomal RNA
Source: RNAcentral